Molecule: long non-coding RNA, 611 nt
Filed under: Medicago truncatula (barrel medic)
Lineage: Eukaryota; Viridiplantae; Streptophyta; Magnoliopsida; Fabales; Fabaceae
Description: long non-coding RNA (MTRU_LNC006373)
Source: RNAcentral
UAGGUUCGUCUUUUACCGUUUCUGUUGCCUCGAAUUCAGUAGCUGCAGGUUCAUCUUUUACCAUUUCUGUAGGCUCAACUACAGUUGUCACAGGUUCUUCUUUUACGGUUUCUGUAGCUUCAACUUCAGUAGCCACAGAUUCUUCUUUUACUGUUUCUGUAGCUUCAACUUCAGUAGCCACUGGUUCUUCUUUUACUGUUUCUGUAGCUUCAACUUCAGUAGCCACUGGUUCUUCUUUUACUGUUUCUGUAGCUUCAACUUCAGUAGCUGCAGGUUCGUCUUUUACCGUUUCUGUAGCCUCAACUUCAGUUGCCACAGGUUCUUCUUUUACCGUUUCUGUAGGCUCAACUUCAGUAGCCACGGGUUCUUCUUUUACUGUUUCUGUAGCUUCAGCUUCAGUAGCUAGAGGUUCUUCUUUUACCGUUUCUGUAGGAUCAACUUCAGUAACCACAGGUUCGUCUUUUACGGUUUCUGUAACCUUAACUUCAGUAGCUGCAGGUUCUUCUUUUACUGUUUCCGUAGCCUCAACUUCAGUAGCCACAAGUUCUUCUUUUAGUGUUUCUGUAGCCUCAACUUCAGUAACCACGGGUUCUUCUUUUACUAUCUCUGCA